Molecule: ribosomal RNA, 685 nt
Filed under: uncultured Bacteroidales bacterium
Lineage: Bacteria; Pseudomonadati; Bacteroidota; Bacteroidia; Bacteroidales
Description: bacterial SSU rRNA
Rfam family: Bacterial small subunit ribosomal RNA
Source: RNAcentral
AGCAUUUUAGUUUGCUUGCAAACUAAAGAUGGCGACCGGCGCACGGGUGAGUAACACGUAUCCAACCUGCCGAUAACUCGGGGAUAGCCUUUCGAAAGAAAGAUUAAUAUCCGAUGGUAUAUUAAAACCGCAUGGUUUUACUAUUAAAGAAUUUCGGUUAUCGAUGGGGAUGCGUUCCAUUAGUUUGUUGGCGGGGUAACGGCCCACCAAGACUACGAUGGAUAGGGGUUCUGAGAGGAAGGUCCCCCACAUUGGAACUGAGACACGGUCCAAACUCCUACGGGAGGCAGCAGUGAGGAAUAUUGGUCAAUGGACGAGAGUCUGAACCAGCCAAGUAGCGUGAAGGAUGACUGCCCUAUGGGUUGUAAACUUCUUUUAUAUGGGAAUAAAGUAUUCCACGUGUGGGAUUUUGUAUGUACCAUAUGAAUAAGGAUCGGCUAACUCCGUGCCAGCAGCCGCGGUAAUACGGAGGAUCCGAGCGUUAUCCGGAUUUAUUGGGUUUAAAGGGAGCGUAGGUGGAUUGUUAAGUCAGUUGUGAAAGUUUGCGGCUCAACCGUAAAAUUGCAGUUGAAACUGGCAGUCUUGAGUACAGUAGAGGUGGGCGGAAUUCGUGGUGUAGCGGUGAAAUGCUUAGAUAUCACGAAGAACUCCGAUUGCGAAGGCAGCUCACUAGACUGCAACUGAC